Long non-coding RNA from Acipenser ruthenus (sterlet), 2617 nucleotides. RefSeq lists it as uncharacterized. The transcript has 3 exons. The record is from RefSeq and is a predicted model, not a curated record. NCBI's taxonomy places the organism in Eukaryota, Metazoa, Chordata, Actinopteri, Acipenseriformes, Acipenseridae.
AAAAACGGUACGCAGCGCCCUGCGCUUGCUCGCGCAUGCCUAAACAGCUUCCACUUUGAAAACACGGUAGUGCCUGUUCAAAUCUGGUCUGAAGGUUUUAAUGUCAGUAUACUCGUCACUUGGGUGGUCUGCUACAGGGAACUAGCGGGCGAUUUGAUCAACCAAGGGCAGCCGCUCCGAUCCCAGGAUGCUGGGUAUCGCACCAUUCCAAACAUUUAAAAACAGACAUGGGAGGGAGAGCAUUCGACUAUGAGGCCCCGAAGCUAUGGAACGAAUCGCCGGUUCCUGUUUGGAAAGCUCCUACUGUAGCAAUCUUCAAAAGCAGGCUGAAGACACUUUUUCAUAGUUUAGCAUAUUUAUCAAAUUGACUUUUAAUUUACUGUCUUUAUUGUUUAUACUGUUUUUUGUUAUUUUAUUGUAUUGUUUUUUUUGUAUUUAACUGUACAAAAAUGAUUUAUUUUAUUGUAAUUGUUCUUUGAUAUUCUGCAUAUGUUAAAGCACUUCAACUUGUUGCGAAAGGCGCUAUACUAAGUAAAGAUGUGAUUGAUUGAUUGAUUGAGAAACACCACCUCUCAGUAGAAGCCUGUUAUACUAGACUCUAAUUAAAACACUGGACUGCAUUCAAGGACCAUCCACAUGCCGGUAAAUACAUUGCUGUUCAUGCAUUCAAGGCUUUAUGAAUACACGGCAGUGUUCUCCAGUCUCUAGAAAGCUGCACAGUACAAGCACAGUCUCUGCACUGCAAGAGUGAUCCUGCACGUACUGCACUGUACAACAGCCUCACUGCAAGAGAUAUCCUGCACGUACUGCACUGUACAACAGCCUCACUGCAAGAACAAUCCUGCACGUACUGCACUGUACAACAGCCUCACUGCAAGAGAUAUCCUGCACGUACUGCACUGUACAACAGCCUCACUGCAAGAACAAUCCUGCACGUACUGCACUGUACAACAGCCCCACUGCAAGAACAAUCCUGCACGUACUGCACUGUACAACAGCCCCACUGCAAGAACAAUCCUGCACGUACUGCACUGUACAACAGCCCCACUGCAAGAACAAUCCUGCACGUACUGCACUGUACAGCAGCCUCACUGCAAGAGCAAUCCUGCACGUACUGCACUGUACAGCAGCCUCACUGCAGCCUGGGAUUCAUUUGGAAAAAAUACAAUUCAGUGAAGGAUAAUGACUACAAGUAAAACAAAUAUGUUAAAAAUGAAAAAAACAAAUGUGAAAAUCAACAAAACUAACUCUAGAGAUAUUAUUGAAAAAAUGGCAAACUUACUGAAGUAUUUACCUGUAUGUAUAAAAUACAGAAAGUCUAACCGAUGUAAAGAGCAGUCCAAUAGUGCCUGUAUUUUAGCCGCUAUCAUUUUUCUUUAGGAGACUUGCAAUCCAUACCACUAGAGCCUCAAGAACGUAUUAAUACGACACUUCUCAAAGAAAAGGAUGCAAAAAAUAGUACAUACUUUUCUAUUUGUAUGUAUUUGUUUUUCAAGCUGAAACUAAUAGCUAAUAGCAUAAACUAAUAGCUAUCUGUUGGGUAUAGUUUUAUACACUUUCUGCUUUUGGGGUAUUAACACAUCUUGCGAUUUCCACCAUCCAAAUAGUUAUUUUCUGUUCAAUUAAAUACUGCAAAAUAUUAUACAACUCCCACAGAUUACCUAAACUAAAAGCCACACCAUUCUGCAUGGUUCAAGAUUCAAUGGUACGUUUAUGUUCCCCCUGCAUAUACAAAUCUUACAGCAAUGCCAAGCACAUGAAAUGCAGACUAAAGAAUAUACACAUACAGACUAAAUAAUGUACUUCCCACCUAAGAACAUUAUAAACACAACAGCAUGUACUGUAGUACUAAGUGCUGUGGACAAACUCCACGAGAGAUCAGACCCUGCCCUGUAUCUUUACUGAGUGUUAGUGCAGGGAGCUAGCACAGCAAGGUGAAGCACUGCCCUGUAUCUUUACUGAGUGUUAGUGCAGGGAGCUAGCACAGCAAGGUGAAGCACUGCCCUGUAUCUUUACUGAGUGUUAGUGCAGGGAGCUAGCACAGCAAGGUGAAGCACUGCCCUGUAUCUUUAGAGUGUUAGUGCAGGGAGCUAGCACAGCAAGGUGAAGCACUGCCCUGUAUCUUUAGAGUGUUAGUGCAGGGAGCUAGCACAGCAAGGUGAAGCACUGCCCUGUAUCUUUAGAGUGUUAGUGCAGGGAGCUAGCACAGCAAGGUGAAGCACUGCCCUGUAUCUUUAGAGUGUUAGUGCAGGGAGCUAGCAUAGCAAGGUUAAGCACUGCCCUGUAUCUUUACUGAGUGUUAGUGCAGGGAGCUAGCACAGCAAGGUGAAGCACUGCCCUGUAUCUUUACUGAGUGUUAGUGCAGGGAGCUAGCAUAGCAAGGUGAAGCACUGCCCUGUAUCUUUAGAGUGUUAGUGCAGGGAGCUAGCACAGCAAGGUGAAGCACUGCCCUGUAUCUUUAGAGUGUUAGUGCAGGGAGCUAGCAUAGCAAGGUGAAGCACUGCCCUGUAUCUUUACUGAGUGUUAGUGCAGGGAGCUAGCAUAGCAAGGUGAAGCACUGCCCUGUAUCUUUAGAGUGUUAGUGCAGGGAGCUAGCAUAGCAAGGUGAAGCACUGCC